RNAcentral lists this non-coding RNA (23 nucleotides) under Arabidopsis thaliana (thale cress). Lineage: Eukaryota; Viridiplantae; Streptophyta; Magnoliopsida; Brassicales; Brassicaceae. The record is from RNAcentral.
CACAACCUGAUCUUAAAAGCCUA